RNAcentral lists this ribosomal RNA (892 nucleotides) under uncultured bacterium. RNAcentral describes it as "bacterial SSU rRNA". It matches the Rfam family "Bacterial small subunit ribosomal RNA", at positions 28 to 926 of the family's 1533-position model. The record is from RNAcentral.
GAUGAACGCUAGCGGCAGGCUUAACACAUGCAAGUCGAGGGGUAUAGUUCUUCGGAACUAGAGACCGGCGCACGGGUGCGUAACGCGUAUGCAAUCUACCUUUUACAGGGGAAUAGCCCAGAGAAAUUUGGAUUAAUGCCCCAUAGUAUAGUUUUUUCGCAUGAAGAGAUUAUUAAAGUUCCAACGGUAAAAGAUGAGCAUGCGUCCCAUUAGCUAGAUGGUAAGGUAACGGCUUACCAUGGCGACGAUGGGUAGGGGUCCUGAGAGGGAGAUCCCCCACACUGGUACUGAGACACGGACCAGACUCCUACGGGAGGCAGCAGUGAGGAAUAUUGGUCAAUGGACGCAAGUCUGAACCAGCCAUGCCGCGUGCAGGAUGACGGUCCUAUGGAUUGUAAACUGCUUUUGUACGAGAAGAAACGCUCCUACGUGUAGGAGCUUGACGGUAUCGUAAGAAUAAGGAUCGGCUAACUCCGUGCCAGCAGCCGCGGUAAUACGGAGGAUCCAAGCGUUAUCCGGAAUCAUUGGGUUUAAAGGGUCCGUAGGCGGUUUAGUAAGUCAGUGGUGAAAGCCCAUCGCUCAACGGUGGAACGGCCAUUGAUGCUGCUAAACUUGAAUUAUUAGGAAGUAACUAGAAUAUGUAGUGUAGCGGUGAAAUGCUUAGAGAUUACAUGGAAUACCAAUUGCGAAGGCAGGUUACUACUAAUGGAUUGACGCUGAUGGACGAAAGCGUGGGUAGCGAACAGGAUUAGAUACCCUGGUAGUCCACGCCGUAAACGAUGGAUACUAGCUGUUGGGAGCAAUUUCAGUGGCUAAGCGAAAGUGAUAAGUAUCCCACCUGGGGAGUACGUUCGCAAGAAUGAAACUCAAAGGAAUUGACGGGGGCCCGCAC